RNAcentral lists this long non-coding RNA (1038 nucleotides) under Olea europaea (common olive). RNAcentral describes it as "long non-coding RNA (OEUR_LNC008592)". Lineage: Eukaryota; Viridiplantae; Streptophyta; Magnoliopsida; Lamiales; Oleaceae. The record is from RNAcentral.
AUAUUCAUUGUAUUUCUCGUUUAGUUUUAUUUGUGCAGAAUUGUAAUCAUAAUCGAGUUUACCAUGCUUCAAUUAAUAAUAUGCAGCAGGUCAAAAGGAUAUUUUCAAAGGCUUUCUUCUAAUAUGCAUAAAAUUGGUACAGACUGCCGCUCAAAUAGAGACUUGGAUACAUCGAGAGUUGAUCAGCGGUGCACUCUUCCAUAAUAUCUCACCAAACCAAAUUCUGUACAUAUAUUCUUUUGUGUCUAACAUUCUUAAUUUCAGUUUUGUUUAAUGAUUGAAAAGCAAUCCAUGUGAAUUUUCAUAUGCUCAUGUUUCCGUCUCGUAAUAUGGUCCCGAUCCAAAUGCCUCUUCAAUACAAAAUUAAGAAGUGAAGAAUCCCCACAGAGAACCAUUCAUCCCGUACAUACAUAUCUUAGCAUCCAACCAAACAAUCCAUAUGCAAAACAACAAUUCUUUUUCUACAGAUCACAACUUCAAAAUAUGCCAAAUCUCAAAACGUAAUCUCAAAUUCAUAUAGAAGAAUAGCCUCCAUAUUUAUUUGCUUUUCCAUAGCAAGAAAUUGAAAACGCAAUAUCAAAAUUCAAGAGUAUGUACUUAUUUUUUUUACACGAUUUACAAAUUAAUAGUAGGAUUGAUUGGCAUACCCUGAAGACAACUUGAAGGGCUCAAAAUUUUUAGUUGAUUCAGCCGUAUUUUUUUUGACUCAAUAUGAAUACAAUGUGCAGGAGGAAGAAUUAUAUCACAACCAAUCGUGGCAAUCGUGGCUGAAUAAUUUCCCUCUUGAAAAAUCGACCGCAAGUUUCUUGUAAAAUGAACUCCAAUUGUGGCAAUCCUUGCUGAAUAAAAUUUCUUGCAAACCCAAGAGAAAGAAUUAUAUCACACCCAAGAAAUUUGGAUGGUGAGAAAAUUGGAAUUAGGUUUGCGCGACUAAACUAAAGCGGCCAAAUUGAAGAGGGAAUUAUUUGCUGAAAAUUUUUGGAGGCAAGGAGGCCCGGGAGAAACGUGGUCUGAAGAAUUGGAGAAGCAUUAUUUCUA